GAUCCUGGCUCAGGAUGAACGCUAGCGGCAGGCUUAACACAUGCAAGUCGAGGGGCAGCAUAAUGGUAGUAAUACUAUUGAUGGCGACCGGCGGACGGGUGCGUAACGCGUAUGCAACCUACCCUUUACAGGGGGAUAACACUGAGAAAUCGGUACUAAUACCCCAUAAUAUUCUGGGAGGCAUCUUUUCGGAGUUGAAAGCUUUGGUGGUAAAGGAUGGGCAUGCGUUGUAUUAGCUAGUUGGUAAGGUAACGG
This 255-nucleotide ribosomal RNA is filed under the name uncultured bacterium. RNAcentral describes it as "partial 16S ribosomal RNA". It matches the Rfam family "Bacterial small subunit ribosomal RNA", at positions 15 to 263 of the family's 1533-position model. The record is from RNAcentral.